ACGAACGCUGGCGGCGUGCUUAACACAUGCAAGUCGAACGGUGAAGCGCCUUCCUUUUUGGUGGGUGUGGAUGAGUGGCGAACGGGUGAGUAACACGUGAGUAACCUGCCCCCUUCUUCUGGAUAACCGCAUGAAAGUGUGGCUAAUACGGGAUAUUCUGGGUCUGUCGCAUGAUGGGUCUGGGAAAGAUAUUGUUUCGGGGGGGGAUGGGCUCGCGGCCUAUCAGCUUGUUGGUGGGGUGAUGGCCUACCAAGGCGGUGACGGGUAGCCGGCCUGAGAGGGUGGAUGGUCACACUGGGACUGAGACACGGCCCAGACUCCUACGGGAGGCAGCAGUGGGGAAUAUUGCACAAUGGGCGCAAGCCUGAUGCAGCGACGCCGCGUGAGGGAUGGAGGCCUUCGGGUUGUGAACCUCUUUCGCCAGUGAAGCAGGCCUGCCUCGUUUGUGGGUGGGUUGACGGUAGCUGGAUAAGAAGCGCCGGCUAACUACGUG
This 493-nucleotide ribosomal RNA is filed under the name uncultured bacterium. Its description in RNAcentral is "partial 16S ribosomal RNA". It matches the Rfam family "Bacterial small subunit ribosomal RNA", at positions 29 to 507 of the family's 1533-position model. The record is from RNAcentral.